AUCAAUAAAUUUAUACCUUGUAUUGUCAACUGAUGGAAUUAACUCAUAUAGUAUUCAAGGUAACUUCCAUAGUACAUGACCAAUGAUAUAAAAAAACAACAAAAAUUACAAGUGCCACAUCAUCUCAUUUGGAAACCUCAAACUCCAAAAGAACACUUCAAUCACUAGAAUGUUCAUGAUGAAGAUGUGGAUGGAACCAUAGAAACAAAAUCCGCUCAAAUUGAUUGAGAACUGGUAACUAUUUGCGCAUAUUGAUUCACAUCUAUGGCGAACUGGUUCUCUUUGAUUCCUUACCUCCUUGUAAGAAACGAAUCAAAGUUUUCACCUACAAUUUCAGUCCAAGAAAGAAAUGAGAAGGGAAUUGGGUUGGCAAAAUGACAAUAAAAACAAUCCCAUGAAGCUAUUAGAAAAGAGGAGUCUACAAUCUCACUCUAAUAAGAGGAAG
RNAcentral lists this long non-coding RNA (445 nucleotides) under Lupinus angustifolius (narrow-leaved blue lupine). RNAcentral's name for it is "long non-coding RNA (LANG_LNC003485)". The record is from RNAcentral. Lineage: Eukaryota; Viridiplantae; Streptophyta; Magnoliopsida; Fabales; Fabaceae.